AGUGAACGCUGGCGGUAGGCCUAACACAUGCAAGUCGAACGGCAGCACAGUAAGAGCUUGCUCUUACGGGUGGCGAGUGGCGGACGGGUGAGGAAUACAUCGGAAUCUACUUUCUCGUGGGGGAUAACGUAGGGAAACUUACGCUAAUACCGCAUACGACCUACGGGUGAAAGCAGGGGAUCUUCGGACCUUGCGCGAUUGAAUGAGCCGAUGUCGGAUUAGCUAGUUGGCGGGGUAAAGGCCCACCAAGGCGACGAUCCGUAGCUGGUCUGAGAGGAUGAUCAGCCACACUGGAACUGAGACACGGUCCAGACUCCUACGGGGGGCAGCAGUGGGGAAUAUUGGACAAUGGGCGCAAGCCUGAUCCAGCCAUACCGCGUGGGUGAAGAAGGCCUUCGGGUUGUAAAGCCCUUUUGUUGGGAAAGAAAAGCAGCAGGUUAAUACCCCGCUGUUCUGACGGUACCCAAAGAAUAAGCACCGGCUAACUUCGUG
This 492-nucleotide ribosomal RNA is filed under the name uncultured bacterium. Its description in RNAcentral is "partial 16S ribosomal RNA". It matches the Rfam family "Bacterial small subunit ribosomal RNA", at positions 29 to 507 of the family's 1533-position model. The record is from RNAcentral.